This 643-nucleotide long non-coding RNA is filed under the name Panax ginseng (ginseng). RNAcentral describes it as "long non-coding RNA (PGIN_LNC000657)". Lineage: Eukaryota; Viridiplantae; Streptophyta; Magnoliopsida; Apiales; Araliaceae. The record is from RNAcentral.
AUCACCCAUCUUGAGUCGCCAGAUAUCACACUACAUAAAUCAAAUACAACUUAAUUAAUGCAACUGUCGUGCAAAAUACGACAAAACAUAGCUGAGAGUUUAAACACGAAUAUUGCCUUCUAAACAAUAUCCACUCUCAAUGGAGUCCUCAUUAUAAUUAUUAUCACACUAUUUUAUAAAAAUUAUAAAAUAGUGAGGACUACUAUAGCCACCAUCUCGGACCGUCAAUCCUUUCCCCGACUCGUCCCAGCUAUAUUCUCAUUUCCUGAAGAGAACAGUGAAAGAAAAGGGUGAGCUCAACUAGCCCAGUAAGAAGUAUUAUGACUAAGAUAAUGCAGAAUAAAUUAUCCUUAGCCUUCAACAGUGUUAAACUGAUAAAAUACAAUAAACAUCAAGUUUAACUACAGCGGAAUAAGCAAUCCAUUAGAAGAGUCAAGUAAAACAUAAUGUCUACUAUCUCCUCUAGAUUAAAAGUCCAUCGUUAAUAUUUCAUUCAUGUAAUACUCAUCAACAGUCCUUUGUUAUACCCAAGACAAAAAGAACUAUCAUCAUAUGUCUUCACCUGAACCACCAAAGAUUAUAAUUAAAUCCACAAUUCAUUUUUAUAAUCAUGUAAAUCAACAGUUUCUCCUUGCCACAAAGG